UACGGAGGGUGCAAGCAUUAAUCGGAUUUAUUGGGCGUAAAGGGCGCGUAGGCGGAAAAGCAAGUCAGAUGUGAAAUCCCGGGGCUCAACCUCGGAACAGCAUUUGAAACUACUUAUCUAGAGGGUAGGAGGAGAAAACGGAAUUCCACAAGUAGCGGUGAAAUGCGUAGAUAUGUGGAAGAACACCGGUGGCGAAGGCGGUUUUCUAUCUUAUUCCUGACGCUGAGGCGCGAAAGCAAGGGGAUCAAACAGG
Molecule: ribosomal RNA, 253 nt
Filed under: uncultured bacterium
Lineage: Bacteria
Description: partial 16S ribosomal RNA
Rfam family: Bacterial small subunit ribosomal RNA
Source: RNAcentral